CAGUGCCAGACCUUGGUUUGUCUAACUUUUAUAACAACACAACUAUUGAAAAGUCUAGUAAUACGCUAAUCACUCUCUACACAUUUCAAAUAUUUCAAGUUGCUGUAAGUAUUUGUGCCUAUGGAACUCUCUCUGCCUACAGGGUUCUAACUAAUAUUAUCAACACGAUCAUUUUUGUAAAGCUCUCACUGAAAGACACCAUGA
Non-coding RNA from Biomphalaria pfeifferi, 204 nucleotides. The record is from the annotation of a GenBank genome assembly. NCBI's taxonomy places the organism in Eukaryota, Metazoa, Mollusca, Gastropoda, Planorbidae.